GGUUAAGCGACUAAGCGUACACGGUGGAUGCCCUGGCAGUCAGAGGCGAUGAAGGACGUGCUAAUCUGCGAAAAGCGUCGGUAAGGUGAUAUGAACCGUUAUAGCCGGCGAUGUCCGAAUGGGGAAACCCAGUGCAAUUCGUUGCACUAUCGUUUGAUGAAUACAUAGUCAAACGAGGCGAACCGGGGGAACUGAAACAUCUAAGUACCCCGAGGAAAAGAAAUCAACCGAGAUUCCCCCAGUAGCGGCGAGCGAACGGGGAGCAGCCCGGAGUCUGAAUCAGCUUGUGUGUUAGUGGAAGCGUCUGGAAAGUCGCAGGGUACAGGGUGAUACUCCCGUACACUAAAACACACAGGUUGUGAACUCGAAGAGUAGGGCGGGACACGUGGUAUCCUGUCUGAAUAUGGGGGGACCAUCCUCCAAGGCUAAAUACUCCUGACUGACCGAUAGUGAACCAGUACCGUGAGGGAAAGGCGAAAAGAACCCCGGCGAGGGGAGUGAAAAAGAACCUGAAACCGUGUACGUACAAGCAGUAGGAGCCUCUUUAUGGGGUGACUGCGUACCUUUUGUAUAAUGGGUCAGCGACUUAUAUUCUGUAGCAAGGUUAACCGUAUAGGGGAGCCGCAGGGAAACCGAGUCUUAACUGGGCGUUAAGUUGCAGGGUAUAGACCCGAAACCCGGUGAUCUAGCCAUGGGCAGGUUGAAGGUUGGGUAACACUAACUGGAGGACCGAACCGACUAAUGUUGAAAAAUUAGCGGAUGACUUGUGGCUGGGGGUGAAAGGCCAAUCAAACCGGGAGAUAGCUGGUUCUCCCCGAAAGCUAUUUAGGUAGCGCCUCGUGAAUUCAUCUUCGGGGGUAGAGCACUGUUUCGGCUAGGGGGUCAUCCCGACUUACCAACCCGAUGCAAACUACGAAUACCGAAGAAUGUUAUCACGGGAGACACACGGCGGGUGCUAACGUCCGUCGUGAAGAGGGAAACAACCCAGACCGCCAGCUAAGGUCCCAAAGUCAUGGUUAAGUGGGAAACGAUGUGGGAAGGCCCAGACAGCCAGGAUGUUGGCUUAGAAGCAGCCAUCAUUUAAAGAAAGCGUAAUAGCUCACUGGUCGAGUCGGCCUGCGCGGAAGAUGUAACGGGGCUAAACCAUGCACCGAAGCUGCGGCAGCGACACUAUGUGUUGUUGGGUAGGGGAGCGUUCUGUAAGCCGUUGAAGGUGGCCUGUGAGGGUUGCUGGAGGUAUCAGAAGUGCGAAUGCUGACAUAAGUAACGAUAAUGCGGGUGAAAAACCCGCACGCCGGAAGACCAAGGGUUCCUGUCCAACGUUAAUCGGGGCAGGGUGAGUCGACCCCUAAGGCGAGGCCGAAAGGCGUAGUCGAUGGGAAACAGGUUAAUAUUCCUGUACUCGGUGUUACUGCGAAGGGGGGACGGAGAAGGCUAUGUUGGCCGGGCGACGGUUGUCCCGGUUUAAGCAUGUAGGCGGAUGUUCCAGGUAAAUCCGGAACGUUAUUAACGCUGAGGUGUGAUGACGAGGCACUACGGUGCUGAAGUGACAAAUGCCCUGCUUCCAGGAAAAGCCUCUAAGCAUCAGGUAACAUCAAAUCGUACCCCAAACCGACACAGGUGGUCAGGUAGAGAAUACCAAGGCGCUUGAGAGAACUCGGGUGAAGGAACUAGGCAAAAUGGUGCCGUAACUUCGGGAGAAGGCACGCUGAUAUGUAGGUGAAGUGGUUUACCCAUGGAGCUGAAAUCAGUCGAAGAUACCAGCUGGCUGCAACUGUUUAUUAAAAACACAGCACUGUGCAAACACGAAAGUGGACGUAUACGGUGUGACGCCUGCCCGGUGCCGGAAGGUUAAUUGAUGGGGUUAUCCGUAAGGAGAAGCUCUUGAUCGAAGCCCCGGUAAACGGCGGCCGUAACUAUAACGGUCCUAAGGUAGCGAAAUUCCUUGUCGGGUAAGUUCCGACCUGCACGAAUGGCGUAAUGAUGGCCAGGCUGUCUCCACCCGAGACUCAGUGAAAUUGAACUCGCUGUGAAGAUGCAGUGUACCCGCGGCAAGACGGAAAGACCCCGUGAACCUUUACUAUAGCUUGACACUGAACACUGGUCCUUGAUGUGUAGGAUAGGUGGGAGGCUUUGAAGUGUGGACGCCAGUCUGCAUGGAGCCAUCCUUGAAAUACCACCCUUUAAUGGCUGGUGUUCUAACGUGGGCCCGUUAUCCGGGUUGCGGACAGUGUCUGGUGGGUAGUUUGACUGGGGCGGUCUCCUCCUAAAGAGUAACGGAGGAGCACGAAGGUCAGCUAAUCCUGGUCGGACAUCAGGAGGUUAGUGCAAUGGCAUAAGCUGGCUUGACUGCGAGCGUGACGGCGCGAGCAGGUGCGAAAGCAGGUCAUAGUGAUCCGGUGGUUCUGAAUGGAAGGGCCAUCGCUCAACGGAUAAAAGGUACUCCGGGGAUAACAGGCUGAUACCGCCCAAGAGUUCAUAUCGACGGCGGUGUUUGGCACCUCGAUGUCGGCUCAUCACAUCCUGGGGCUGAAGUAGGUCCCAAGGGUAUGGCUGUUCGCCAUUUAAAGUGGUACGCGAGCUGGGUUUAGAACGUCGUGAGACAGUUCGGUCCCUAUCUGCCGUGGGCGCUGGAGAAUUGAGGGGGGCUGCUCCUAGUACGAGAGGACCGGAGUGGACGCAUCACUGGUGUUCGGGUUGUCAUGCCAAUGGCAUUGCCCGGUAGCUAAAUGCGGAAGAGAUAAGUGCUGAAAGCAUCUAAGCACGAAACUUGCCCCGAGAUGAGUUCUCCCUGACUCCUUGAGAGUCCUGAAGGAACGUUGAAGACGACGACGUUGAUAGGCCGGGUGUGUAAGCGCAGCGAUGCGUUGAGCUAACCGGUACUAAUGAACCGUGAGGCUUAACCUU
This 2907-nucleotide ribosomal RNA is filed under the name Klebsiella grimontii. RNAcentral describes it as "23S ribosomal RNA". It matches the Rfam family "Bacterial large subunit ribosomal RNA". The record is from RNAcentral. Lineage: Bacteria; Pseudomonadati; Pseudomonadota; Gammaproteobacteria; Enterobacterales; Enterobacteriaceae.